Molecule: small RNA, 107 nt
Filed under: Marmota monax (woodchuck)
Lineage: Eukaryota; Metazoa; Chordata; Mammalia; Rodentia; Sciuridae
Source: RNAcentral
GCCAGGUGCAAUGGCACACACCUGUAAUCCCAGAGACUCUGGAGGCUGAGGCAGGAGGAUCACAAGUUUGAGGCCAGCCUUGGCAAUUUAGAAAGACCCUGCCUCAA